RNAcentral lists this ribosomal RNA (253 nucleotides) under uncultured bacterium. RNAcentral describes it as "partial 16S ribosomal RNA". It matches the Rfam family "Bacterial small subunit ribosomal RNA", at positions 524 to 776 of the family's 1533-position model. The record is from RNAcentral.
UACAGAGGUGGCAAGCGUUGUUCGGAAUUACUGGGCGUAAAGUGUGCGCAGGCGGCUCCGCAAGUCGAGUGUGAAAUCCCCGAGCUUAACUUGGGAAUUGCGCUCGAAACUACGGAGCUGGAGUGUGGCAGAGGAAGGUGGAAUUCCACGUGUAGCGGUGAAAUGCGUAGAUAUGUGGAGGAACACCGAUGGCGAAGGCAGCCUUCUGGGCCAACACUGACGCUCAUGCACGAAAGCGUGGGGAGCAAACAGG